UACAGAGGGGGCAAGCGUUGUUCGGAAUUACUGGGCGUAAAGGGCGCGUAGGCGGCCUGCUAAGUCGAACGUGAAAUCCCCGGGCUCAACCCGGGAACUGCGUCCGAUACUGGCAGGCUUGAAUUCGGGAGAGGGAUGUGGAAUUCCAGGUGUAGCGGUGAAAUGCGUAGAUAUCUGGAGGAACACCGGUGGCGAAGGCGGCAUCCUGGACCGGUAUUGACGCUGAUGCGCGAAAGCCAGGGGAGCAAACGGG
This 253-nucleotide ribosomal RNA is filed under the name uncultured bacterium. RNAcentral's name for it is "partial 16S ribosomal RNA". It matches the Rfam family "Bacterial small subunit ribosomal RNA", at positions 524 to 776 of the family's 1533-position model. The record is from RNAcentral.